RNAcentral lists this ribosomal RNA (867 nucleotides) under uncultured bacterium. RNAcentral describes it as "bacterial SSU rRNA". It matches the Rfam family "Bacterial small subunit ribosomal RNA", at positions 505 to 1378 of the family's 1533-position model. The record is from RNAcentral.
GUGGCAGCCGCCGCGGUAAUACGGAGGGUCCGAGCGUUAUCCGGAAUCAUUGGGUUUAAAGGGUCCGUAGGCGGGCCUGUAAGUCAGGGGUGAAAGUUUGUGGCUCAACCAUAAAAUUGCCUUUGAUACUGCAGGUCUUGAGUCAUGGUGGGGUUGCCGGAACAUGUGGUGUAGCGGUGAAAUGCAUAGAUAUCACAUAGAACACCGAUCGCGAAGGCAGGUGACCAACCAUGUACUGACGCUGAUGGACGAAAGCGUGGGUAGCGAACGGGAUUAGAUACCCCGGUAGUCCACGCCGUAAACGAUGGAUACUAGCUGUGGGGACAUUGUCUCCGUGGUCAAGCGAAAGUGAUAAGUAUCCCACCUGGGGAGUACGACCGCAAGGUUGAAACUCAAAGGAAUUGACGGGGGCCCGCACAAGCGGUGGAGCAUGUGGUUUAAUUCGAUGAUACGCGAGGAACCUUACCAGGGCUUAAAUGCAGGCUGCAUGGGGUGGAGACAUCCCUUUCUUCGGACCGCCUGCAAGGUGCUGCAUGGUUGUCGUCAGCUCGUGCCGUGAGGUGUCAGGUUAAGUCCUAUAACGAGCGCAACCCCUACCGUUAGUUGCCAGCGAGUCAAGUCGGGGACUCUAACGGGACUGCCGGUGCAAACCGUGAGGAAGGUGGGGACGACGUCAAAUCAUCACGGCCCUUACGUCCUGGGCCACACACGUGCUACAAUGGCCGGUACAGAGGGAAGCCACCCCGCAAGGGGGCGCGGAUCUAUAAAACCGGUCACAGUUCGGAUCGGGGUCUGCAACUCGACCCCGUGAAGCUGGAAUCGCGAGUAAUCGGAUAUCAGCCAUGAUCCGGUGAAUACGUUCCCGGG